GAUGAACGCUGGCGGCGUGCCUAAUACAUGCAAGUCGAACGCUGGAGAUCUAGCUUGCUAGAUCGAAGGAGUGGCGAACGGGUGAGUAAUACAUAAGCAACCUACCCACGAAGACUGGGAUAAUCUCUGGAAACGGGGACUAAUACCGGAUAGGUAAUCGGAAGGCAUCUUCUGGUUAUUAAAGGUUAAAAACACUGGUGGAUGGGCUUAUGGCGCAUUAGUUAGUUGGUGAGGUAACGGCCCACCAAGACGAUGAUGCGUAGCCGGCCUGAGAGGGUGAACGGCCACAUUGGGACUGAGACACGGCCCAGACUGCUACGGGAGGCAGCAGUAGGGAAGUUUCGGCAAUGGAGGCAACCCUGACCGAGCAACGCCGCGUGAGUGAAGACGGCCUUCGGGUUGUAAAGCUCUGUUGUAAGGGAAGAACGGUAGAUAGAGAAUAUCUAAGUGACGGUACCUUACCAGAAAGCCACGGCUAACUACGUG
RNAcentral lists this ribosomal RNA (486 nucleotides) under uncultured bacterium. RNAcentral describes it as "partial 16S ribosomal RNA". It matches the Rfam family "Bacterial small subunit ribosomal RNA", at positions 28 to 507 of the family's 1533-position model. The record is from RNAcentral.